This 250-nucleotide long non-coding RNA is filed under the name Hordeum vulgare. Its description in RNAcentral is "long non-coding RNA (HVUL_LNC006553)". The record is from RNAcentral. Lineage: Eukaryota; Viridiplantae; Streptophyta; Magnoliopsida; Poales; Poaceae.
GAUCAUCGUCAUCUAGCUCAAGAGGACUAGGUGCAAGGUAUAGGUUUGCCCUUGAUAGGUUUUUCUAUUUUAGGAUAGAUUGUUGUACUGUCAAGGGGGGCUCUCAAGUGAGUAGCUUGAUCGUAUCGUUCGUUGAGAGCUCAAACCAUUUGCAUCCUUGCAUCAUAUUUCUUGGUUCUUGUUUGGUGUUUCUCUUUGUGAGUUUUAGAGCUUAUGGUCAUCUUCAUGACAAACUCGAGUUCAUCGAAAA